UUUCACAAGACAUGGAACUCUAAAAUUUAAGUUGAGGUAUCGAUAUAAUCCUCUCGUUUUGAAUUAAUAAUCUCUCAUUACAAGAGAAAAGAAAGGUUACACAUGCUCUAAACUAAUUGACCAAUAACAAAUAUUUAUCUCAUGUAUGAUUCAUAAAAUAAAUUAUAAUUAGUGUAUUAAUCACUUCCAAAUCAAAAGACAAAGCAGACAUGGUUCAAAUGUACGUGCAGAUUAUAAAAAAACUAUAUCCAAAAACUCCUAGGGUUGGAUAAUAAAACUUGACAUCACUGCAUCAGAGUGACUGACAAACAACUUGAUUUGCAACAGUCAAUAGUAACAAAAACAGACUAUGAAAGUGAUCAUAACUUGUUCUUGUUCUUCUUCUUCCUUUGCCUUAUCUGAGGAAAUGUAAGUGGGAUAGGAAGUGUGGCAUAGGAAACCUUCUGAGAGGAUAUCAAUUUGCAACCCAAAUGCUCAAAGAUUGGUCUCAGCGUUAGCGUGGUCAUCCUUAGAUCCUUUGCUAUAUCUCUAUAGUCGGUGCGGAAAUCGUCAGAGAAAAGUGUGAGCACCAAAACAUAAGAAAUGAGAAGAUUCAGCUUUUCAGGUGGCAGCCUUCUUGAUUCAGAAACAUCAAACAUUGCUGUAAAUCUAUGAUGCAGAGUGUAGGGAAGUUUCUCGAACUUUGAAGAGGAAAUACCAUCCAUGGAGUGCUGAUCUUUAAACUUGACAAGAUAAUUAAUGAAUAAAAGUAUGCAAGAAAGCUUCUUCUUUUCGGAAUCUACCUCAAUCUUCUUUAAUCUGUUUAUCCUGUUGCGAAUAAAAGAUGGAUAAAGACUGAAGUUUGCUGCUUCUUCCUUUUGCAAACUAUAAUAAAUGUCUUGAAGGUAAUUCCAUUCGUCUGCAAGGAUGAUUUUGUCCAAUACAUAAGCCUCCUGAGGUGUAGUUGCAGAAGAAUUAUAUGGU
RNAcentral lists this long non-coding RNA (963 nucleotides) under Medicago truncatula (barrel medic). RNAcentral's name for it is "lncRNA gene43434". Lineage: Eukaryota; Viridiplantae; Streptophyta; Magnoliopsida; Fabales; Fabaceae. The record is from RNAcentral.